RNAcentral lists this unclassified non-coding RNA (404 nucleotides) under soil metagenome. Its description in RNAcentral is "partial contains 5.8S ribosomal RNA, internal transcribed spacer 2, and large subunit ribosomal RNA". The stretch from base 1 to 122 matches the Rfam family "5.8S ribosomal RNA", at positions 35 to 154 of the family's 154-position model. The record is from RNAcentral.
GAUGAAGAACGUAGCAAAAUGCGAUACUUGGUGUGAAUUGCAGAAUCCCGUGAACCAUCGAGUUUUUGAACGCAAGUUGCGCCCGAAGCCUUUUGGCCGAGGGCACGUCUGCCUGGGCGUCACGCAUCGCGUCGCCCCCCACAAUUCUUCGUAAAGGGAACAUGUGUUUUGGGGGCGGAUAUUGGUCUCCCGUGCUCAUGGCGUGGUUGGCCGAAAUAGGAGUCCCUUCGAUGGACGCACGAACUAGUGGUGGUCGUAAAAACCCUCGUCUUUUGUUUUGUGCUGUUGCUCGCAAGGUAAACUCUUUAAAAACCCCAAUGUGCCGUCUCUUGACGACGCUUCGACCGCGACCCCAGGUCAGGCGGGACUACCCGCUGAGUUUAAGCAUAUCAAUAAGCGGAGGA